This 253-nucleotide ribosomal RNA is filed under the name uncultured bacterium. RNAcentral's name for it is "partial 16S ribosomal RNA". It matches the Rfam family "Bacterial small subunit ribosomal RNA", at positions 524 to 776 of the family's 1533-position model. The record is from RNAcentral.
UACGGAGGAUGCAAGCGUUGUCCGGAAUCAUUGGGCGUAAAGGGUCCUGAGGUGGUUUGCUCAGUCCACUGUGAAAGUUCAGGGCUUACCCUUGAAAAUGCGGUGGAAACUAGUAGGCUAGAGUACGGUGGGGGCAGAGGGAAUUCCCGAUGUAGCGGUGAAAUGCAUAGAUAUCGGGAAGAACACCGAUGGCGAAGGCACUCUGCUGGGCCGACACUGACGCUGAAAGACGAAAGCCAGGGGAGCGAAUGGG